GGGUGGGUGACCCCUAGCGACUCUUCCUAUAUUUCAUUUGAUUUUUCAUAUUGUCACAAACAUGAAUAUAUAUGGUUAAGGGGUGUGGAUCUCGACCGUUUCCAAGUUCUCAAACAGGAGGGGUGGGGUAACUCCAGGGACUCCCCCUAUAUUUCAUUUUUUAUUUAUCAUAUUGUCCUAUACUGGAAUAUAUGCAGGGGCAGAUUCAGACGGGGAGGGUUGCGGGCUUGCACCCCCCUUAAAUUUGCAAAGUAUGGGUUGUUCUCAGCUUAAUAAAGAAUAUUCCGAUAAUUUUACCUCAAUUUUUUUUUAGCCUCGCUCUGCUCGGCGAAAAUUUAAGUUUGCGCCCCUCCUAACCUAAAAUCCUGGAUCUGUCCCUCAUAUGGUUUAGGGGUGGGGAGCUCGACCGUUUCCAAGUUAUCAAACAGGAGGGGGUAAAGUGGCCCAAAGAAUGCCACCUAUAUAUCAUAUGAUUUACUUACAUUAAGGUAUAUAUAAUAUAGUUGCAUUAUUUGUGAAAAUAAAGAAUGAAACUUUAAGCUACUUUAAUUGACCCUUCAAAAUUGAGAAAAAUCAAAUAACCCCUCGAAAUUGCAGUAAU
Molecule: long non-coding RNA, 601 nt
Filed under: Mytilus galloprovincialis (Mediterranean mussel)
Lineage: Eukaryota; Metazoa; Mollusca; Bivalvia; Mytilida; Mytilidae
Source: RNAcentral